GCAAGUCGAGCGCGAAAUCACUUCGGUGAGAGUAGAGCGGCGGACGGGUGAGUAACGCGUAAGAAUCUACCUAGUAGUGGGGGACAACUCGGGGAAACUCGAGCUAAUACCGCAUACGCCCUACGGGGGAAAGCGGGGGACCUUCGGGCCUCGCGCUAUUGGAUGAGCCUGCGUAAGAUUAGCUAGUUGGUGGGGUAAAAGCUCACCAAGGCGACGAUCCGUAGCUGGUCUGAGAGGAAGAUC
Molecule: ribosomal RNA, 243 nt
Filed under: uncultured bacterium
Lineage: Bacteria
Description: partial 16S ribosomal RNA
Rfam family: Bacterial small subunit ribosomal RNA
Source: RNAcentral